AGGGGUAUAGUUCAAUGGUAGAAUGUCGGUCUCCAAAACCGAAGAUGUGGGUUCAACUCCUACUGCCCCUGCCA
This 74-nucleotide transfer RNA is filed under the name Bacillus sp. M6-12. Its description in RNAcentral is "tRNA-Trp". It matches the Rfam family "tRNA". Rfam says of the family: Transfer RNA (tRNA) molecules are approximately 80 nucleotides in length. Their secondary structure includes four short double-helical elements and three loops (D, anti-codon, and T loops). Lineage: Bacteria; Bacillati; Bacillota; Bacilli; Caryophanales; Bacillaceae. The record is from RNAcentral.